GACGUAGGGGGCGAGCGUUGUCCGGAAUCACUGGGCGUAAAGAGCUCGUAGGCGGGGUUGCGCGUCGCGGAGUAAAUCCAUCUGCUCAACGGGUGGUUCAUCUGCGAUACGGCGACUCUUGAGGACAGGAGAGGAAAGCAGAAUUCCGAGUGUAGCGGUGAAAUGCGUAGAUAUUCGGAGGAAUACCAGUGGCGAAGGCGGCUUUCUGGCCUGAUUCUGACGCUGAGGAGCGAAAGCCAGGGGAGCAAACGG
This 252-nucleotide ribosomal RNA is filed under the name uncultured bacterium. RNAcentral describes it as "partial 16S ribosomal RNA". It matches the Rfam family "Bacterial small subunit ribosomal RNA", at positions 524 to 775 of the family's 1533-position model. The record is from RNAcentral.